RNAcentral lists this ribosomal RNA (1347 nucleotides) under Vibrio sp. MM12. RNAcentral describes it as "16S ribosomal RNA". It matches the Rfam family "Bacterial small subunit ribosomal RNA", at positions 90 to 1433 of the family's 1533-position model. The record is from RNAcentral. Lineage: Bacteria; Pseudomonadati; Pseudomonadota; Gammaproteobacteria; Vibrionales; Vibrionaceae.
GUCGAGCGGCGGACGGGUGAGUAAUGCCUAGGAAAUUGCCCUGAUGUGGGGGAUAACCAUUGGAAACGAUGGCUAAUACCGCAUGAUGCCUACGGGCCAAAGAGGGGGACCUUCGGGCCUCUCGCGUCAGGAUAUGCCUAGGUGGGAUUAGCUAGUUGGUGAGGUAAGGGCUCACCAAGGCGACGAUCCCUAGCUGGUCUGAGAGGAUGAUCAGCCACACUGGAACUGAGACACGGUCCAGACUCCUACGGGAGGCAGCAGUGGGGAAUAUUGCACAAUGGGCGCAAGCCUGAUGCAGCCAUGCCGCGUGUAUGAAGAAGGCCUUCGGGUUGUAAAGUACUUUCAGUCGUGAGGAAGGUAGUGUAGUUAAUAGCUGCAUUAUUUGACGUUAGCGACAGAAGAAGCACCGGCUAACUCCGUGCCAGCAGCCGCGGUAAUACGGAGGGUGCGAGCGUUAAUCGGAAUUACUGGGCGUAAAGCGCAUGCAGGUGGUUUGUUAAGUCAGAUGUGAAAGCCCGGGGCUCAACCUCGGAAUUGCAUUUGAAACUGGCAGACUAGAGUACUGUAGAGGGGGGUAGAAUUUCAGGUGUAGCGGUGAAAUGCGUAGAGAUCUGAAGGAAUACCGGUGGCGAAGGCGGCCCCCUGGACAGAUACUGACACUCAGAUGCGAAAGCGUGGGGAGCAAACAGGAUUAGAUACCCUGGUAGUCCACGCCGUAAACGAUGUCUACUUGGAGGUUGUGGCCUUGAGCCGUGGCUUUCGGAGCUAACGCGUUAAGUAGACCGCCUGGGGAGUACGGUCGCAAGAUUAAAACUCAAAUGAAUUGACGGGGGCCCGCACAAGCGGUGGAGCAUGUGGUUUAAUUCGAUGCAACGCGAAGAACCUUACCUACUCUUGACAUCCAGAGAACUUUCCAGAGAUGGAUUGGUGCCUUCGGGAACUCUGAGACAGGUGCUGCAUGGCUGUCGUCAGCUCGUGUUGUGAAAUGUUGGGUUAAGUCCCGCAACGAGCGCAACCCUUAUCCUUGUUUGCCAGCGAGUAAUGUCGGGAACUCCAGGGAGACUGCCGGUGAUAAACCGGAGGAAGGUGGGGACGACGUCAAGUCAUCAUGGCCCUUACGAGUAGGGCUACACACGUGCUACAAUGGCGCAUACAGAGGGCGGCCAACUUGCGAAAGUGAGCGAAUCCCAAAAAGUGCGUCGUAGUCCGGAUUGGAGUCUGCAACUCGACUCCAUGAAGUCGGAAUCGCUAGUAAUCGUGGAUCAGAAUGCCACGGUGAAUACGUUCCCGGGCCUUGUACACACCGCCCGUCACACCAUGGGAGUGGGCUGCAAAAGAAGUAGGUAG